Pezoporus flaviventris is the source of this 1211-nucleotide long non-coding RNA. RefSeq lists it as uncharacterized. Lineage: Eukaryota; Metazoa; Chordata; Aves; Psittaciformes; Psittacidae. The transcript is spliced from 2 exons. The record is from RefSeq and is a predicted model, not a curated record.
AAGGAUGAAGAAACAGUUAAAGCUGAUCAGGCGAGGAAUUAUGGUACCUCCCUUUCAGUGGAUGCAUGUGUGCAGUUUUCAGUCAUGUGGCUAUGACAAACCUUUGUUCAUCUCCAGUUCCAGCAGUCUGCUCUAAUCUUCCUUUUCAUAAGAGCUGUAUACUUCUGUGGCACUCCACCAAGGAAAAGGCUUUAACUAAAUCAUGAAGCAAUUGUUCAAAAUCCUAAGUAGAAACCUGUUUAUUUCUAUAUGUAGCUGAAGAUCAAAUUUGUUAAGAAGCCUAAGCAUGUUCCAGUCAUCUUAAGAGUAAAACACAGUAUUACCUAUCUCAGCAAAUACUAAUGAAGCUGAAAUGCCAAUUUACAAAUAGACCAACUGUAUAAAAAAUAGAAACAUUUGCCUUCCAUUUAGUAGUUCAGCUACUCAAAUAAUUUUAUGUAUGAUGUGUACCUUUCCUUGACAGCUUGUAUUCCUGGGUAGAGCUGCAGGUCCUGAAGAAUGGGUGUAAUAUGAGCUCAAUAGCUCUGCUUUCUCCCUGUGAGAAAACGUGUUGUGUGAGGGAGCAACUUUAUUGGCUGCUGUCUCACCACUGCUCCCAUACAUUGCAUAAACACUGCUGUUGGAAGCUGCUAUGGACCAUGGGUUGCAGGGUCUUUGGUGGUGUUACCAUACUUGUUUCUGGGAUCGUGUUGUAGAGAGCAAGACACAUUCCUAAAUGAAAAAGGAAGUUGUGUGGAGGUGAGGGCCAGGUUCUUGAAGACAAAGAUGCUACAACUAUAAAGACAUGCACAGCUCUGCAGGGAUAGCUCAGUCCUUUGGAAACUCAGUAGGUGGCCUCUAAACGCAUUUAAUAUCUGGUUUACAAGACAGUUUUCUUUUGGAGUUCUUUACGUUCAUCAUAUAUCACUUCAUUGCUCAAUCCUCUGAACUGGGCUAUAUAAUUACUGACAGGCUGCAGAUGGCUGUUAAGACAAGUCUGCAGAGCACAUAACAACGAAUUAGUGUCUGCAGUGAAGCUGCCACAGGUGAGGUUACACGUUUGGGCUUGAGACUGUCUUAACAGCUCAUUUCCACAUAAAGAAGUUUUGCGCCCUUCUCCUCCUGUCUUGGCCCUCCUACCCUCACAUGCACUGACUUGUGUUUUCUGACCCCACACUAAGUCAAUUCAGUUUAUUGCAAUCAAGAAGAUAUUAAACUGGAAAAAAGGUGAA